RNAcentral lists this transfer RNA (59 nucleotides) under Xiphophorus maculatus (southern platyfish). It matches the Rfam family "tRNA", at positions 8 to 63 of the family's 71-position model. From Rfam's summary of the family: Transfer RNA (tRNA) molecules are approximately 80 nucleotides in length. Their secondary structure includes four short double-helical elements and three loops (D, anti-codon, and T loops). Further hydrogen bonds mediate the characteristic L-shaped molecular structure. tRNAs have two regions of fundamental functional importance: the anti-codon, which is responsible for specific mRNA codon recognition, and the 3' end, to which the tRNAs corresponding amino acid is attached (by aminoacyl-tRNA synthetases). tRNAs cope with the degeneracy of the genetic code in two manners: having more than one tRNA (with a specific anti-codon) for a particular amino acid; and 'wobble' base-pairing, i.e. permitting non-standard base-pairing at the 3rd anti-codon position. Lineage: Eukaryota; Metazoa; Chordata; Actinopteri; Cyprinodontiformes; Poeciliidae. The record is from Rfam by way of RNAcentral.
UAGCUCAGUCGGUAGAGCAUGAGACUUUUAAUCUCGUGGUUUGUGGGUUCGAGCCCAAU